RNAcentral lists this ribosomal RNA (492 nucleotides) under uncultured bacterium. RNAcentral describes it as "bacterial SSU rRNA". It matches the Rfam family "Bacterial small subunit ribosomal RNA", at positions 28 to 507 of the family's 1533-position model. The record is from RNAcentral.
GAUGAACGCUAGCUACAGGCUUAACACAUGCAAGUCGAGGGGAAACGACAUCGAAAGCUUGCUUUUGAUGGGCGUCGACCGGCGCACGGGUGAGUAACGCGUAUCCAACCUGCCCGCCACAGGGGGAUAACCGGGAGAAAUUCCGACUAAUACCCCGUAUGCUCACGGUAGCGCAUGCUACAGAGAGGAAACCGCGAGGGGUGGCGGAUGGCCAUGCGGCGCAUUAGCUAGUUGGCGGGGUAACGGCCCACCAAGGCGACGAUGCGUAGGGGUUCUGAGAGGAAGGUCCCCCACAUUGGUACUGAGACACGGACCAAACUCCUACGGGAGGCAGCAGUGAGGAAUAUUGGUCAAUGGGCGAGAGCCUGAACCAGCCAAGUCGCGUGAGGGAAGACGGUCCUAAGGAUUGUAAACCUCUUUUGUCGGGGAACAACGAGUUGCACGUGUGCGACAGUGAGGGUACCCGAAGAAAAAGCAUCGGCUAACUCCGUG